GACGAACGCUGGCGGCGUGCUUAACACAUGCGAGUCGAACGGAAAGGCCCCUUUGGGGGUACUCGAGUGGCGAACGGGUGAGUAACACGUGAGUAACCUGCCCUUGACUUCGGGAUAACUUCAGGAAACUGGGGCUAAUACCGGAUAGGAAUCCUUGCUGCAUGGUGGGGGUUGGAAAGCUUCGGCGGUUUUGGAUGGACUCGCGGCUUAUCAGCUUGUUGGUGGGGUAGUGGCUUACCAAGGCUUUGACGGGUAGCCGGCCUGAGAGGGCGACCGGCCACAUUGGGACUGAGAUACGGCCCAGACUCCUACGGGAGGCAGCAGUGGGGAAUAUUGCACAAUGGGCGGAAGCCUGAUGCAGCAACGCCGCGGGCGGGAGGACGGCCUUCGGGUUGUAAACCGCUUUCAGCAGGGGCGAAGCUUGUGGUGACGGUACCUGCAGAAGAAGCACCGGCUAACUACGUG
Molecule: ribosomal RNA, 465 nt
Filed under: uncultured bacterium
Lineage: Bacteria
Description: partial 16S ribosomal RNA
Rfam family: Bacterial small subunit ribosomal RNA
Source: RNAcentral